UCCCUGGAGGACUAGUGUUUAGGCCACAGCACUCUCCCCGCUGAGGUCUCGGUUCGAUUCCUGGCCAGGGAA
Pangasius djambal is the source of this 72-nucleotide non-coding RNA. NCBI's taxonomy places the organism in Eukaryota, Metazoa, Chordata, Actinopteri, Siluriformes, Pangasiidae. The record is from the annotation of a GenBank genome assembly.